This 791-nucleotide long non-coding RNA is filed under the name Mus musculus (house mouse). RNAcentral describes it as "predicted gene, 47270". Lineage: Eukaryota; Metazoa; Chordata; Mammalia; Rodentia; Muridae. The record is from RNAcentral.
AGAGACCCUGCCUGAGAAAGAGAGGAAGGCAGGAGAUGAAGAGAAAGCAAAGAAGGAACAGUAGAUGUCAGACUUUGUUAGUCGCUUCUGCUCUAAUGAGACCUAACCCUGUUGACUUUGAACUGGAGUCAGAAACUAGUGACUGUGCAGUUGGCUGGCAGACUGCAGAUCUGGAGACUCGAUGGCCUUCAUGGCUGUGUGGCCCACAUUAUAAAUCUGCCAUUUCUCUGCCUUUACCUCACCUCCGUGCUGCUGUGUUCCGCCUUUGGGCCUUCUACAAUCAUUUUUCUCCUGGGGGGCAGCCACGCUGUGGAGUACACGGUUACACCAACAUGAGGAAAAAGGUUUUAGAGUGAGACAAGAUCUCAGAAUUUCAUCUCAGAGAUGGGGAAAUGAAGGCUGGGCAGUGGUAGCACACACCUUUGAUCCCAGCACACAGACGGAGAGGCAGGUGGACCUUUGAGUUCGAGGCCAGCCUGGUCUACAAAGUGAGUUCCAGGACAGCCAGGGCUACACAGAGAAACCCUGUCUCGAAAAACAAAACAAAAAGCAUACGUGAAGGAACAAGUUCAGGCAUUGCUGCAUUGCUACAUUGCGAAGAAUCCGAACCUCAGGAUUUAUCAGAUUUCUGUGUGUGUGGAGAGGGGCAGUCAGUUUUCUCUUUCUACCUUAGCAAAGCUGUAAGCUAACUGAAAGGUGUUGUGGCAUCUGCCACAUCUCUCGUAAGAACAGUGACUAGACUGUGCCUGACAGAAGAGGGCAAACCAGCGCUGAGUAUACCCCCUCAACAU